RNAcentral lists this transfer RNA (60 nucleotides) under Oligolophus tienmushanensis. Its description in RNAcentral is "tRNA-Ser". The record is from RNAcentral. Lineage: Eukaryota; Metazoa; Arthropoda; Arachnida; Opiliones; Phalangiidae.
GAAACUAAAAAUUUAAAGCCGCUAACUUUAAUUAUGUUACAAUAUUUUAACAUAGUUUCU